UACGGAGGGUGCAAGCGUUGUUCGGAAUUACUGGGCGUAAAGAGCGUGUAGGCGGUCGGGAAAGUCAGAUGUGAAAGCCCUGGGCUCAACCCAGGAAGUGCAUUUGAAACUUCCUAACUAGAGUAUGGGAGAGGAGAGUGGAAUUCCCAGUGUAGAGGUGAAAUUCGUAGAUAUUGGGAGGAACACCGGUGGCGAAGGCGACUCUCUGGACCAAUACUGACGCUGAGACGCGAAAGCGUGGGGAGCAAACAGG
Molecule: ribosomal RNA, 253 nt
Filed under: uncultured bacterium
Lineage: Bacteria
Description: partial 16S ribosomal RNA
Rfam family: Bacterial small subunit ribosomal RNA
Source: RNAcentral